AGUGAAAUUAAGCUUAUUUCAUUGGAAAAUAAUAAGAUAAGAGAAUAAAUUAUUUUCUCUCUUUAUAUAAUCAUUUCGUUGUAUUCAAAUUUCUACCAAGGUAUCUAUAUUAAAAGUAUGCAAAUGCAUAAGCAAUUGCUGAAAAGGUGGAAAGGUUUGUGCAAUCUUUUACUCUUUAGCAGGUGGCUUUCCGUUAGCUGCUCCAACGUUAUGACCCCAGUUGAUUAGUUCUUUACUACAGUCGUCUUGGUCAAUAUUGCACUCAAUGAGGGUUGGCCCUUGGGAAUUUUCUUUAGCUUGUCGAAUUGCUUCAGCUAGCUCAUGUCCAUUUCCAACACGGAAUCCUUUGGCAUGACCUUCUCCAGCAUUGAAUGCUUCAACAAUUGCUGCAUAAUCCCAGUUUUUAAUACGGUUAUAAGGACCAUCGUGAAUUUCAACUUCAAUAGUAUAUCCUCUGUUGUUGAUUAAAAACAUGAUGAUUGGUAAAUUUAGUCGAACCAUUUGCGACACUUCUUGUACAGUUUCUUGAAAUGAUCCAUCUCCAACGAAAACUACCACAUUGCGCUUAGGUGCUCCGAUAGCGUAUCCAAAUGCAGAUGGCACGGACCAUCCAAUGUGACCCCAUUGCAUUUCUAUUUCAAAUCUCGCUUUUUCUGGCAGAGUUAUUCUCAUUCCUCCAAACCAAGAAUCACCAGUAUCAACGAAUAGAGUUGUUUCCUGAUUAACGAGGUUUUGAACCUGGCGAAUAAUCUCUUUUCGAUUGAGUGCAGCCUUGGGGUUUUCCAUAGGUAUUUCAAGUGAUUCUGGCCGUAUACGUUUGUACUCAACAACACUUGCAUUGUUUGCUUUCACCUUUUUUGCUAGUUCAUGAAGGAAAUCCCUUAACAAAACUCCACCAAAUUCGGCAUCAGAAACAGUUACACGAUCAACAUCAACAUGUAACACAUUGGCCUUCGGUGGUAGCGAAGUCCAUCCAUUUGAGCUAUAAUCAGUAAAUGUUGUUCCAGCGCAAAUGAUACAAUCCGACCAGUUGAUAAUGGAUUCAGCACCUAGUGUGCUUGCCUGUCCCCAAUAAAUUCCCGCAUAAUUUGGAUGAGAUUCAGGGAAAAAGCUUUUGGCGUUUGGCAUGACUGCAACAGAGCAGUUCAACGAAUUCGCCAACUCCAAGAAUGCGCUCUCAGCUUUAAAGCUUCGAAGUUUAGGUCCGGCCAACAAUACGGGCUUUUGCUUUCCAUUUACGAUUUUGGCGCUAAUGUCAACGGCCAUUUGCAAAUAUUCUUGAUUGCUGGUUUCAGGCUCGGUAAUCAAGCUGGCUGGUCCCGGCGCUGCACAAGGUUGAGAAGCAACAUUCGUAGGAACUUCAAUGUAAACAGGCUUCUUUUUCAAUAAAGCCAUUUUAAUUGCAUAGUCAAUUAGUCGAGGUGCCUCAGUCGGCCUUUGAAUAGAUACCGCAGCACAAGUAAUUUUCUUGGCCAUCUCAUAUUGAUAGCUAAAGUCAUGGGUUCCCAAAGUAUGAUGCAAUAAAUGAGACGAUCCUAUAUCGUUUGUGUUUGGAGAUCCACUAAUCAAAAUUACAGGAAGGUCUUCAGCGUAUGCACCUCCAAUCCCAUCAAACGCGGUGAAAGCUCCUACACUAUAGGUAACAACACACGCAGCGAUACCGUUGGCACGUGCAUAUCCUUCGGCAGCAAAAGCACAGUUAAGCUCAUUUGCACAGUUUACCUCUUCAAGAUAAUUGUUGUAUUGUAGCUUGUCAAGUAACCCAAGAUUAUAGUCACCGGGAACCACAAAAUGAUGCUUUACGCCAGCUUGUGCUAACCGAACGGCCAAGUAGUGUCCAAUUGUUGUUGGCUGUUGUAACUGAACUGCUUGCUGAUUAUCUUUCAUA
This 1888-nucleotide long non-coding RNA is filed under the name Schizosaccharomyces pombe (fission yeast). Its description in RNAcentral is "Pdc2-Repressed lncRNA, pdc102-antisense". Lineage: Eukaryota; Fungi; Ascomycota; Schizosaccharomycetes; Schizosaccharomycetales; Schizosaccharomycetaceae. The record is from RNAcentral.